This is a long non-coding RNA of Hyla sarda, 711 nucleotides long. RefSeq lists it as uncharacterized. Lineage: Eukaryota; Metazoa; Chordata; Amphibia; Anura; Hylidae. The record is from RefSeq and is a predicted model, not a curated record. The transcript has 3 exons.
AAAAGAUUAUGGUCCCCACAGCAGGAUAUCUGUUCAAAUUUAGCUGCAACUGCGGGUGCUGUGAUUAUAAUGGAAGUCUGGAGACCCAAUGGAGGCUCUGAACCAGCGAUCCGGUCAGAGUCCGGAACAGUCACCGCUGGUCAGCCGCAGACAGCACCGUCUCCCAGCGCUACAGCCAGCAACGGCAUCUAACACCGGCCCUCCAUCCCUCUCCUGCUCCUGUUUGCCCAUGCUGCCGGGUCACAGAGGGCAGGCACCGGAGGACCUCCAGCGCUGACACACGCAUUCGAAUUCAGAGGAGCCGAGACUCAGAACCAUAACUCUGCACCAGUAAAUAUGCAAAGAAUGGCAGCAAAAUUCUUUAACACUUACAUAGAGCAGCAGGCACUGAGGCCAAGCUAAAGGGAAAAAGACUCUGUAGUGCAUAAUACAUAUGGUUAUGGUGGAUGAAGAGGAACCGCAAUCAGAGAUAGCCAGGAACUUAACGGUGUUAUCUGGCGGGAGAGGGUGUUUUUCAUAGCUAUGCCCAAAAUUAAACAUCUACUUACCUCCAGCACUUUCUCCUAGAAACACUUCCAAACAAGCCAUACUUGUUCAGUCUUUUUUGUUACAUGUAACAUGCUGAGAACUGUAGAGCCUAAAAUGCAGAUCUUGCGUGUUUCACAAUUUUCUGGAGCACUGCACAGUCUGACCUUGGGGUAAAUGUGCUCU